Molecule: non-coding RNA, 189 nt
Filed under: Polyangiaceae bacterium
Lineage: Bacteria; Pseudomonadati; Myxococcota; Polyangiales; Polyangiaceae
Description: 6S RNA
Rfam family: 6S / SsrS RNA
About the family: E. coli 6S RNA was the first non coding RNA to be sequenced, but its function was unknown until recently. It consists of 184 nucleotides that fold into an extended hairpin structure with a large single-stranded internal bulge.
Source: RNAcentral
UUCCCUCUGCCGGUUUCGUCAGGUCGACCUAAAUGAAUCCCGAACGGUAACGAACCAGGGGCCCACUUUUGGGCGUGGUGUGCAGACCCGAACGACUUCAUCGGGGAGCCUAAAGCGUCCCUCUCGGGCCCCACCUAGCAGUUGCUAGGGGUUCAUGUUGUCGAUCAACGUACUCGGCGGUAAGGAACU